RNAcentral lists this long non-coding RNA (312 nucleotides) under Carica papaya (papaya). Its description in RNAcentral is "long non-coding RNA (CPAP_LNC003944)". The record is from RNAcentral. Lineage: Eukaryota; Viridiplantae; Streptophyta; Magnoliopsida; Brassicales; Caricaceae.
UUUCUAUUUCAGUAGUCAUUUAAUAAUAAACAUUUUAACAUUCCUUUAAGUGUCCAAGAGUUUUAGGUUUUAUGGGGUUAACGUCAUUAAUAGAUUCUCAUGGAAAUUUAUUUAUAAAAUGUUGGAGAAAUUGUUCUGAAAGAAAUUGGGAUAAACUAUAGAAAAGGCCUUUAGGAGAUAAAAUUGUUCUUACGACUUUAACUUCACUAUAUAGUUCUUACGCAUCUCGAUAGACGAAUUCACAAGUGCACAAAAUUGUUUAGUUAAUAAAGCGAUAAGUAGAGUAUCGUCCAUAGAAAUUGUGUAUCAAGU